This 71-nucleotide transfer RNA is filed under the name Clydonella sawyeri. Its description in RNAcentral is "tRNA-Ala". It matches the Rfam family "tRNA". Rfam says of the family: Transfer RNA (tRNA) molecules are approximately 80 nucleotides in length. Lineage: Eukaryota; Discosea; Flabellinia; Vannellidae. The record is from RNAcentral.
GGGGUUAUAUUUUAAUGGUAGAAUUUUUGUUUUGCAUACAAAAGAUAUCGGUUCGAUUCCGAUUAACUCCA